AUGCCUAAUACAUGCAAGUCGAACGAAGUCUUCGGACUUAGUGGCGCACGGGUGAGUAACAUGUGGGAAUCUACCUAAAGGUUCAGAAUAACUACGGGAAACUGUAGCUAAUACUGGAUGUGUCUGCAAAGAGAAAGAUUUAUCGCCUUUAGAUGAGCCCGCACUAGAUUAGUUUGUUGGUGAGGUAACUGCUCCACCAAGACUACGAUCUAUAGCUGAUUUGAGAGGAUGAUCAGCCACACUGGGACUGAGACACGGCCCAGACUCCUACGGGAGGCAGCAGUAGGGAAUAUUGGACAAUGGGGGCAACCCUGAUCCAGCAAUGCCGCGUGAGUGAAGAAGGCCUUCGGGUUGUAAAACUCUUUCAUCAAUGAUGAUAAUGACAUUAGUUGAAGAAGAAGCUCCGGCUAACUCCGUGCCAGCAGCCGCGGUAAUACGGAGGGGGCUAGCGUUGUUCGGAAUUACUGGGCGUAAAGCGUAUGUAGGCUGAUCAAAAAGUUAGAUGUGAAAUCCCUGGGCUCAACCCAGGAACUGCAUUUAAAACUGGUGAUCUAGAAUUUGGUAGGGGUUAGUAGAAUUUCCAGUGUAGAGGUGAAAUUCGUAGAUAUUGGAAAGAAUACCAGUGGCGAAGGCGACUAACUGGGCCAUUUUUGACGCUGAGAUACGAAAGCGUGGGUAGCAAACAGGAUUAGAUACCCUGGUAGUCCACGCAGUAAACGAUGAGUGCUAGUCGCUGGGUCAAUAGAUUCAGUGUCGUAGCUAACGCAUUAAGCACUCCGCCUGGGAAGUAC
RNAcentral lists this ribosomal RNA (791 nucleotides) under uncultured Alphaproteobacteria bacterium. Its description in RNAcentral is "bacterial SSU rRNA". It matches the Rfam family "Bacterial small subunit ribosomal RNA", at positions 44 to 883 of the family's 1533-position model. Lineage: Bacteria; Pseudomonadati; Pseudomonadota; Alphaproteobacteria. The record is from RNAcentral.